AAGGAGUAUGCCGAAAAUCCUAUGAAGAGUAGGCA
The submitters of this non-coding RNA (35 nucleotides) gave its source as unclassified sequences. The record is from Rfam.